Molecule: transfer RNA, 85 nt
Filed under: Echinostoma caproni
Lineage: Eukaryota; Metazoa; Platyhelminthes; Trematoda; Plagiorchiida; Echinostomatidae
Rfam family: tRNA
About the family: Transfer RNA (tRNA) molecules are approximately 80 nucleotides in length. Their secondary structure includes four short double-helical elements and three loops (D, anti-codon, and T loops). Further hydrogen bonds mediate the characteristic L-shaped molecular structure. tRNAs have two regions of fundamental functional importance: the anti-codon, which is responsible for specific mRNA codon recognition, and the 3' end, to which the tRNAs corresponding amino acid is attached (by aminoacyl-tRNA synthetases). tRNAs cope with the degeneracy of the genetic code in two manners: having more than one tRNA (with a specific anti-codon) for a particular amino acid; and 'wobble' base-pairing, i.e. permitting non-standard base-pairing at the 3rd anti-codon position.
Source: Rfam by way of RNAcentral
GGCCUCGUAGCUCAGCUGGGUAGAGCGUGCGCUGUACAAAAGUGUAGGUGGUGUCCAUGCGUGGAUUCGAAUCCCACCGAGGCUA